CGACGUCGUCUCAGUCCCAACAAUCCACUCCCUCCUCCUGGGCUUUGCUCCCUUUGAGGACCCGGAUCUCGUUAUCGCUUCUGUCAAAGUUAACGGACGCCACUCGCUGACCAAACGGCACCAUCAACCGCCGUCUCAUGAGCUUCCUCGACUUACGCUCCUCCGCCACUCCCUCAGCUCCCUACAAAGGCGUCACCACCUCCGACGUCACCGUCGACCAAACCCGCAACCUCUAGUUCCGCUUCUUCGUCCCCUCUACGACGUCGUCUUCCCCCGCCUCUUUACCCGUCGUCGUUUUCUUCCACGGCGGCGGCUUCAGCUUUCUCAGCCCCGACUCCUACACCUACGACGCCGUCUGCCCCAAAUUCGCCUGGGAAAUCCCCGUCGUCGUAGUCUCCAUCAACUACCGCCUCUCCCCGGAGCACGGCUACCCCUGCCAGUACGACGACGGCCUCGACGUCCUCAAAUUCCUCGACCAAAACCCCGACUCCCUCCCCGACCUCGCUGACUGCUCCCGCUGCUUCCUCGCCGGAGACAGCGCCGGCGCGAACAUUGCCCACCACGUGGCGGCGCGAGCCUGCUACGAGCCAUUUCGGGUCGUGAAACCAAUCGGGUUGAUAUUGAUCCAACCGUUCUUCGACGGCGAGGAACAGACCGAGUCCGAGAUCCGACUCGAGGGCGCGCCGCUGGUGUCGGUGACCCGAACCG
Molecule: long non-coding RNA, 708 nt
Filed under: Rosa chinensis
Lineage: Eukaryota; Viridiplantae; Streptophyta; Magnoliopsida; Rosales; Rosaceae
Description: sRNA RchiOBHm_Chr2g0154291
Source: RNAcentral